GGGGGGGGGGGGGGGGGGGGUGGGGGGGGGGGGGGGGGGGGGGGGGGGGCGGCUGGGGUGGGGUGGUCGAGUGGCGGACGGGUGGGUAACACGUGGGUAGCCUGGCCUUGACUUUGGGAUAACUUCAGGAGACUGGGGCUAAUACCGGGUAGUAGCUCCUGCUGCAUGGUGGGGGUUGGAAGGUUUCGGCGGUUGGGGAUGGACUCGCGGCUUAUCAGCUUGUUGGUGGGGUAGUGGCUUACCAAGGCUUUGACGGGUAGCCGGCCUGAGAGGGUGACCGGCCACAUUGGGACUGAGAUACGGCCCAGACUCCUACGGGAGGCAGCAGUGGGGAAUAUUGCACAAUGGGCGGAAGCCUGAUGCAGCAACGCCGCGUGCGGGAUGACGGCCUUCGGGUUGUAAACCGCUUUCGCCUGUGACGAAGCGUGAGUGACGGUAAUGGGUAAAGAAGCACCGGCUAACUACGUG
RNAcentral lists this ribosomal RNA (468 nucleotides) under uncultured bacterium. RNAcentral's name for it is "partial 16S ribosomal RNA". The stretch from base 48 to 468 matches the Rfam family "Bacterial small subunit ribosomal RNA", at positions 38 to 507 of the family's 1533-position model. The record is from RNAcentral.